CAGGAACCUGAAAACCUUACUUCUCGGGUUUCUCAUAUCAAAUUAAUUAGGAAAAGUAUUUGGAAGAUAAGUUCUUAUUUUUUGCCUUCAUGUUAGCAUUUCAAAACCUUCCCUAGAACCAGCUCUAGUGUUUUAAAGCAAAUGCCAUGUGGGAGGAGAGAAAUAGUGCUGAGCAAGAGCAGGAACAGCACGGGACGGCCGUCUGCCAGGUUCUGCCUCGUCAUCCUGAAAUCCAGUUCUGCGGGAGCCAGGAGAGAGAAACCAGCCAAGAGUGGCUCCAAACAGCCAAGAUGUCUUGGUCAAUUGCAAGAGCUGGGUUGUGACAACAGAAGGGGAUGUUACGUGGCAACUGAGGAAAAGCAGGAACAUGUUUAGCUUCCAGCAGCACUAAAAUAAACAGGUAAGAGUGCUUGCCUGGAUGGUAAUA
This 427-nucleotide long non-coding RNA is filed under the name Anser brachyrhynchus (Pink-footed goose). Its description in RNAcentral is "lncRNA (ENSABRG00000017462.1)". The record is from RNAcentral. Lineage: Eukaryota; Metazoa; Chordata; Aves; Anseriformes; Anatidae.